ACUCACAGAGUUCAUUUAUAAUGAGACAGAUGAUAAUGAUGAUGAUGAUGAUUCUAGCAAUGCAAUUUCAAAAAUAAAAGAUGAAGUUGAUGCUUUGACUGGCCGUAUAAACCAGCUCAACAUACAGAGAAGGCAGCUACUGAACCAUUAUCUGGACUUGAAAGGGAACAUUCGUGUAUUUUGUCGCAUAAGCCCGAUCACAAUGGGGCAUAAUUUUGGUCGAUUGAGACCUGUAGUGGCUGCGGAUUCAAGUAACGUUCUUUUAAAUCUUGCUGAUAAUAAGAGUAAGAACUACAGUUUUGACAGAGUUUUCCACCCAGAUUCAUCACAAGAUGAAGUUUUUUCCGAAGUUGAACCAGUCAUCAAAUCUGUUCUUGAUGGUUACAAUGCUUGCAUUUUCGCCUAUGGUCAGACUGGCACAGGAAAAACUUUCACAAUGGAAGGCAGAUCAGACGCUCCUGGAGUAGUUCCUCGCACAUUCCAGGAACUAUUUAAGCAAGCAGUAGAAAGUAACCAUUCAUUUCUCAUCAGAUUCAGUAUGCUUGAGAUUUACAUGGGAAAUCUCAAGGACUUGCUAGUCCCCAAGCCAACUAGAGCUACAGAUCCCAUCUCUCCUUGCCUUGCUAUUAAAACAGAUCCUGAGGGAGGAAUUGAAAUCAACAACCUUUUGUCAAUUCAAGUGAAUGACUUCCACCAGGCUUUGAAGCUGUACAGAUUAGGAUGCCAUUUCAGAUCAACAACCUCUACAACCUCCAACAUAACUUCAAGCCGAUCUCAUU
This 779-nucleotide unclassified non-coding RNA is filed under the name Hevea brasiliensis (rubber tree). The record is from RNAcentral. Lineage: Eukaryota; Viridiplantae; Streptophyta; Magnoliopsida; Malpighiales; Euphorbiaceae.